UAGAUCAAUGAUGACUACUGGUGGCGUAUGAGUCAUAUACGAUGAAUAUGUGUCUGGAACUCUGAGGUCCAA
Molecule: small nucleolar RNA, 72 nt
Filed under: Nomascus leucogenys (northern white-cheeked gibbon)
Lineage: Eukaryota; Metazoa; Chordata; Mammalia; Primates; Hylobatidae
Description: Small nucleolar RNA SNORD113/SNORD114 family
Rfam family: Small nucleolar RNA SNORD113/SNORD114 family
About the family: The imprinted human domain at 14q32 contains two clusters of tandemly repeated small nucleolar RNAs named 14q(I) and 14q(II) snoRNAs. These two clusters are named SNORD113 and SNORD114 respectively in the HGNC approved gene symbol nomenclature. The snoRNAs found in both clusters are clearly related and are represented here by a single family.
Source: Rfam by way of RNAcentral